CGGGUAAUAGCUCAGUGGUGGAGCACGUGCUUAGCAUGCACGAGGUUCUGGGUUCAAUCCUCAGUACCUCCA
Molecule: transfer RNA, 72 nt
Filed under: Camelus bactrianus (Bactrian camel)
Lineage: Eukaryota; Metazoa; Chordata; Mammalia; Artiodactyla; Camelidae
Also listed under: 3 other names
Rfam family: tRNA
About the family: Transfer RNA (tRNA) molecules are approximately 80 nucleotides in length. Their secondary structure includes four short double-helical elements and three loops (D, anti-codon, and T loops). Further hydrogen bonds mediate the characteristic L-shaped molecular structure. tRNAs have two regions of fundamental functional importance: the anti-codon, which is responsible for specific mRNA codon recognition, and the 3' end, to which the tRNAs corresponding amino acid is attached (by aminoacyl-tRNA synthetases). tRNAs cope with the degeneracy of the genetic code in two manners: having more than one tRNA (with a specific anti-codon) for a particular amino acid; and 'wobble' base-pairing, i.e. permitting non-standard base-pairing at the 3rd anti-codon position.
Source: Rfam by way of RNAcentral